RNAcentral lists this long non-coding RNA (207 nucleotides) under Glycine max (soybean). RNAcentral describes it as "long non-coding RNA (GMAX_LNC000428)". The record is from RNAcentral. Lineage: Eukaryota; Viridiplantae; Streptophyta; Magnoliopsida; Fabales; Fabaceae.
GAUUAUCCAGUUCCAUUAUAUUUGCCGCAAGCAAUGCAUGGUAUACUCAGAGAUGGUAAUACAAGUGUAUGGUGCAUUUAUUCAUCUUCAUUCUUCCCCAUCAAUCACACAUCUAGAGCAACCUAUAAGAUGGACUUGGUCCAUCAUGGUCUGGAUAAAUAAGGUUCGAUACUUAUUAUUAUUAUUAUUCAACUUCCUACUUCAGUU